AGUCACUGACAUUAGAUACCCCGGUAGUCCCAGCCGUAAACUAUGCGCGUUAGGUGUAUCGGUGACCACGAGUUACUGAUGCGCCGAAGAGAAAUCGUGAAACGCACCACCUGGGAAGUACGGUCGCAAGGCUGAAACUUAAAGGAAUUGGCGGGGGAGCACCACAACAGGUGGAGCCUGCGGUUUAAUUGGAUUCAACGCCGGACAUCUCACCGGAUAAGACAGCUGAAUGAUUGUCAAUCUGAAGGUUUUACAUGACUAGCUG
This 265-nucleotide ribosomal RNA is filed under the name uncultured archaeon. RNAcentral's name for it is "partial 16S ribosomal RNA". It matches the Rfam family "Archaeal small subunit ribosomal RNA", at positions 718 to 982 of the family's 1478-position model. The record is from RNAcentral.